This 497-nucleotide ribosomal RNA is filed under the name uncultured bacterium. RNAcentral describes it as "partial 16S ribosomal RNA". It matches the Rfam family "Bacterial small subunit ribosomal RNA", at positions 28 to 507 of the family's 1533-position model. The record is from RNAcentral.
GAUGAACGCUGGCGGCGUGCCUAAUACAUGCAAGUCGAGCGAACAGACGAGGAGCUUGCUCCUCUGACGUUAGCGGCGGACGGGUGAGUAACACGUGGAUAACCUACCUAUAAGACUGGGAUAACUUCGGGAAACCGGAGCUAAUACCGGAUAAUAUAUUGAACCGCAUGGUUCAAUAGUGAAAGACGGUUUUGCUGUGACUUAUAGAUGGAUCCGCGCCGCAUUAGCUAGUUGGUAAGGUAACGGCUUACCAAGGCUACGAUGCGAAGCCGACCUGAGCGGGUGAUCGCCCAGCCGGGAACUGAGACACGGCCCAGACUCCGGCAGUGGGAAGCAGUCGAGAAUCCUACGCGAUGGGGCAGUGCCUGAUGGUGGAACGCCGCGGGAGGGAUGAAGGUGUUCUGCUGCGAGAGCGAUGAUAGUAUUGGAGUACAAAUGUUUAAGUACCUGUGAACAUCAUGACGGUACCGGGUGAGAAAGCCACGGCUAACUACGUG